Coccinella septempunctata (seven-spotted ladybird) is the source of this 516-nucleotide long non-coding RNA. RefSeq lists it as uncharacterized. Lineage: Eukaryota; Metazoa; Arthropoda; Insecta; Coleoptera; Coccinellidae. The record is from RefSeq and is a predicted model, not a curated record. The transcript has 3 exons.
UUUCUAGAUAACAAACGGUUCUUGGGGGCAUAUAUAAAUUUAUCAGAUCAAGAAAUUUUUUUCAGAGUAAGUUCAUAAAGCAAUUCGUUCAGGAGAGUUUCCAUGUGAAGUAGAUGAUCUAUUUCUCUUCUUUUCAACUGAGUACAUCAGAUUUCUGACAACGUUCAAGCAAUUGGGUAGUGUAUGGAGAUGAUUUUCUUAGUCUAGAUCUAUGGCAAAAUACAUUUUGAGAUAACUUAUUCUGUUGGAAUUAUAUAAUGAUUAUUGAAACACAAUCUAUGAGUUAGCUUUUGCGUUAAAAUUCUAUGUUUAUAGACAUUUGUCGAGUUUUCUCAUUCAAGGUAAGAUUUUUCUCUUAUCGUAGAGAGAGGGACUCUGUAGGUUUUUGUUCGAAAUGAACUGAAUUAAAUGUUAUAAUACUUGGAAUCUUCAUAAUUAGGCUUAUUUUCAAUUCCAUAUAACAGAUUUUGGCCAAUUUUCAAGCUUUUUGAUUAGUGUACAAGGAUUAUUCUAUUC